Molecule: ribosomal RNA, 468 nt
Filed under: uncultured bacterium
Lineage: Bacteria
Description: partial 16S ribosomal RNA
Rfam family: Bacterial small subunit ribosomal RNA
Source: RNAcentral
GACGAACGCUGGCGGCGUGCUUAACACAUGCAAGUCGAACGGAAAGGCCCUGCUUUUGUGGGGUGCUCGUGUGGCGAACGGGUGAGUAACACGUGAGUAACCUGCCCUUGACUUUGGGAUAAAUUCAGGAAACUGGGGCUAAUAUCGGAUAGGAGCUCCUGCUGCGUGGUGGGGGUUGGAAAGUUACGGCGGUUGGGGAUGGACUCGCGGCUAAUCCGCUUGUUGGUGGGGUAGUGGCUUACCAAGGCUUUGACGGGUAGCCGGCCUGGGAGGGUGACCGGCCACAUUGGUACUGAGGUACGGCCCAGACUGCUACGGGAGGCAGCAGUGGAGAAUAUUGCACAAUGGGCGGGAGCCAGAUGCAGCAACGCCGCGAGCGGGAUGACGGCCUACGGGUUGUGAACCGAUUUCGCCUGUGACGAAGCGAGAGUGACGGUAAUUGGUAAAGAAGCACCGGCUAACUACGUG